RNAcentral lists this transfer RNA (65 nucleotides) under Sepioteuthis lessoniana. RNAcentral's name for it is "tRNA-Cys". It matches the Rfam family "tRNA". Rfam says of the family: Transfer RNA (tRNA) molecules are approximately 80 nucleotides in length. Their secondary structure includes four short double-helical elements and three loops (D, anti-codon, and T loops). Further hydrogen bonds mediate the characteristic L-shaped molecular structure. tRNAs have two regions of fundamental functional importance: the anti-codon, which is responsible for specific mRNA codon recognition, and the 3' end, to which the tRNAs corresponding amino acid is attached (by aminoacyl-tRNA synthetases). tRNAs cope with the degeneracy of the genetic code in two manners: having more than one tRNA (with a specific anti-codon) for a particular amino acid; and 'wobble' base-pairing, i.e. permitting non-standard base-pairing at the 3rd anti-codon position. The record is from RNAcentral. Lineage: Eukaryota; Metazoa; Mollusca; Cephalopoda; Myopsida; Loliginidae.
GGUUUUGUAGUUUAAAAUAAAACGUUAAGUUGCAAACUUAAAUAUAUAAUUAAUUAUUAAAACUU